AUUGAACGCUGGCGGCAGGCCUAACACAUGCAAGUCGAGCGGAUGAAGGGAGCUUGCUCCUGGAUUCAGCGGCGGACGGGUGAGUAAUGCCUAGGAAUCUGCCUGGUAGUGGGGGAUAACGUCCGGAAACGGGCGCUAAUACCGCAUACGUCCUGAGGGAGAAAGUGGGGGAUCUUCGGACCUCACGCUAUCAGAUGAGCCUAGGUCGGAUUAGCUAGUUGGUGGGGUAAAGGCCUACCAAGGCGACGAUCCGUAACUGGUCUGAGAGGAGGAUCAGUCACACUGGAACUGAGACACGGUCCAGACUCCUAGGGGAGGCAGCAGUGGGGAAUAUUGGACACUGGGCGAAAGCCUGAUCCAGCCAUGCCGCGUGUGUGAAGAAGGGCUUCGGAUUGUAAAGCACUUUAAGUUGGGAGGAAGGGCAGUAAGUUAAUACCUUGCUGUUUUGACGUUACCAACAGAAUAAGCACCGGCUAACUUCGU
Molecule: ribosomal RNA, 483 nt
Filed under: uncultured bacterium
Lineage: Bacteria
Description: partial 16S ribosomal RNA
Rfam family: Bacterial small subunit ribosomal RNA
Source: RNAcentral